CACGUAGGGACCAAGCGUUGUCCGGAUUCAUUGGGCGUAAAGAGCUCGUAGGCGGCUCAGUAAGUCGGGUGUGAAACCUCCAGGCUCAACCUGGAGACGCCGCCCGAUACUGCUGUGGCUAGAGUCCAGUAGGGGAGCGUGGAAUUCCUGGUGUAGCGGUGAAAUGCGCAGAUAUCAGGAGGAACACCAGCGGCGAAGGCGGCGCUCUGGGCUGGAACUGACGCUGAGGAGCGAAAGCGUGGGAGCGAACAGG
This 253-nucleotide ribosomal RNA is filed under the name uncultured bacterium. Its description in RNAcentral is "partial 16S ribosomal RNA". It matches the Rfam family "Bacterial small subunit ribosomal RNA", at positions 524 to 776 of the family's 1533-position model. The record is from RNAcentral.